UCCUCAAUAGUGUAGUGGUGAUCAUACCUGCUUGUCACGCAGGUGACCUGGGUUCGAUUCCCAGUUGGGGAGC
This 73-nucleotide transfer RNA is filed under the name Ceratocystis platani. RNAcentral describes it as "tRNA-Asp". It matches the Rfam family "tRNA". From Rfam's summary of the family: Transfer RNA (tRNA) molecules are approximately 80 nucleotides in length. Their secondary structure includes four short double-helical elements and three loops (D, anti-codon, and T loops). The record is from RNAcentral. Lineage: Eukaryota; Fungi; Ascomycota; Sordariomycetes; Microascales; Ceratocystidaceae.